GCCGAAGUGGCGGAACCGGAAGACGCGGCGGACUUAAACUCCGCUGGGCGCAAGCCCGUGUGAGUUCGAAUCUCACCUUCGGCACCA
Molecule: transfer RNA, 87 nt
Filed under: Actinomycetota bacterium
Lineage: Bacteria; Bacillati; Actinomycetota
Description: tRNA-Leu
Rfam family: tRNA
About the family: Transfer RNA (tRNA) molecules are approximately 80 nucleotides in length. Their secondary structure includes four short double-helical elements and three loops (D, anti-codon, and T loops). Further hydrogen bonds mediate the characteristic L-shaped molecular structure. tRNAs have two regions of fundamental functional importance: the anti-codon, which is responsible for specific mRNA codon recognition, and the 3' end, to which the tRNAs corresponding amino acid is attached (by aminoacyl-tRNA synthetases). tRNAs cope with the degeneracy of the genetic code in two manners: having more than one tRNA (with a specific anti-codon) for a particular amino acid; and 'wobble' base-pairing, i.e. permitting non-standard base-pairing at the 3rd anti-codon position.
Source: RNAcentral